RNAcentral lists this ribosomal RNA (251 nucleotides) under uncultured prokaryote. RNAcentral describes it as "partial 16S ribosomal RNA". It matches the Rfam family "Bacterial small subunit ribosomal RNA", at positions 525 to 775 of the family's 1533-position model. The record is from RNAcentral.
ACGGAGGGUGCAAGCGUUAAUCGGAAUCACUGGGUGUAAAGCGCGCGUAGGCGGCUUUUUAAGUCGGACGUGAAAGCCCUCGGCUCAACCGGGGAACUGCGUUCGAAACUGGGAAGCUUGAGUACUGGAGAGGGUAGCGGAAUUCCGGGUGUAGGAGUGAAAUCCGUAGAUAUCCGGAAGAACACCGGUGGCGAAGGCGGCCACCUGGACAGGUACUGACGCUGAGGCGCGAAAGCGUGGGGAGCAAACAG